AUUGAACGCUGGCGGCAGGCCUAGCACAUGCAAGUCGAGCGGAUGAAGGGAGCUUGCUCCUGGAUUCAGCGGCGGACGGGUGAGUAAUGCCUAGGAAUCUGCCUGGUAGUGGGGGAUAACGUCCGGAAACGGGCGCUAAUACCGCAUACGUCCUGAGGGAGAAAGUGGGGGAUCUUCGGACCUCACGCUAUCAGAUGAGCCUAGGUCGGAUUAGCUAGUUGGUGGGGUAAAGGCCUACCAAGGCGACGAUCCGUAACUGGUCUGAGAGGAUGAUCAGUCACACUGGAACUGAGACACGGUCCAGACUCCUACGGGGGGCAGCAGUGGGGAAUAUUGGACAAUGGGCGAAAGCCUGAUCCAGCCAUGCCGCGUGUGUGAAGAAGGUCUUCGGAUUGUAAAGCACUUUAAGUUGGGAGGAAGGGCAGUAAGUUAAUACCUUGCUGUUUUGACGUUACCAACAGAAUAAGCACCGGCUAACUUCGUG
RNAcentral lists this ribosomal RNA (484 nucleotides) under uncultured bacterium. RNAcentral's name for it is "partial 16S ribosomal RNA". It matches the Rfam family "Bacterial small subunit ribosomal RNA", at positions 30 to 507 of the family's 1533-position model. The record is from RNAcentral.